CAGUAGCCGCGGGAAUACGGAGGGAGCUAGCGUUGUUCGGAAUUACUGGGCGUAAAGCGCACGUAGGCGGUUAUUCAAGUCAGAGGUGAAAGCCCGGGGCUCAACCCCGGAACUGCCCUUGAAACUAGAUGACUAGAAUCUUGGAGAGGUCAGUGGAAUUCCGAGUGUAGAGGUGAAAUUCGUAGAUAUUCGGAAGAACACCAGUGGCGAAGGCGACUGACUGGACAAGUAUUGACGCUGAGGUGCGAAAGCGUGGGGAGCAAACAGGAUUAGAUACCCCCGUAGUCCCUGUCUCUUAUAC
Molecule: ribosomal RNA, 301 nt
Filed under: uncultured bacterium
Lineage: Bacteria
Description: partial 16S ribosomal RNA
Rfam family: Bacterial small subunit ribosomal RNA
Source: RNAcentral